ACAUUUAGCUGAACUUCAGCUGUGGUUUAAGUUGAUGUAAUAUUUUUAUUUUAUUUUCAGCUUUUCACAAAAAUUAGUUGGAGAUCAAGCAAUAAUUGGCAGACCCCCUGCAGUAUGGCUGCGGACCCCCUGUCGAAGUCCCCGAAGAUUAUAGAGAUGAAAACAAAGCCGUUACUGUAGAGGAUUCACGACAAGAGACCUGCAUGUGGACUCUUAUCACUUAUCAAAGCCUGUUUCUGCCUGCAGAUGAAAAAAAAUGAAUUUAAAAAGGUUUGCGAUUUUCAUGAGGCGCAUCACCUUUAUGAUGACGAAUAUGAGCAAGUGGACAACUGGAGAUUGCAGCUAAAAACCCAAGAACUAAAGUGGGAUGCGAUCAAUGAAAUGGACGAGUACUUCAGCCCCAUCCACACAUACCAGGUGUGCAAUGUGAUGAGCCCAAGUCAGAACAACUGGCUGCGCACCAACUGGAUCCAGCGGGACGGUGCGCGACGGAUCUACAUUGAGAUGAAGUUCACCUUGCGCGACUGCAACAGCAUGCCGGGCGUCCUUGGCACCUGCAAAGAGACCUUCAACCUCUACUACUACGAAACAGACCGGGACGUGGGCACCAGCAUCUGGGAGAGCCAGUUCUCUAAAAUCGACACCAUCGCGGCAGACGAGAGUUUUACCAAUGUGGAUCUGGGAGUGCGGAGACUCAAACUUAACACUGAGAUCCGUGGUGUCGGGCCGCUGGGAAAACGUGGCUUCUACUUGGCCUUCCAGGAUAUCGGAGCGUGCAUCGCCAUCGUGUCGGUGCGGGUGUAUUAUAAACGCUGCACGGGAAUGGCGCGCAACCUGGCCAUCUUCACCGAUGUGGUGACGGGCGCAGAUUCGUCCUCAUUGGUUGAGGUUCGGGGUCAAUGUGUGGAUCACGCUGAGGAAAGAGACACGCCCAAGAUGUACUGCAGCGCUGAGGGGGAGUGGCUUGUUCCUAUUGGACGAUGCGUGUGCAGCGCUGGCUUCGAAGAACAUAGAGACAACUGCAUUGCGUGUGAGGUGGGUUUCUACAAGCCUGUGGCAGGAGAUCAGCAGUGUGGAAAAUGUCCUCUGCACAGUCACUCUGAGACUCGAGCAGCUCUGUCCUGUCCCUGUGAUGCCAACUUCUAUCGCUCAUCUACAGAUCCACCUUCUUCUCCCUGCACAAGACCUCCAUCAGCCCCAGUGAACAUCAUUUCAUCAGUGAACGGGACGUCGGUCAGUCUGGAGUGGGUUUCCCCUCUGGACACCGGAGGCCGCAGUGAUGUGAUCUAUGACGUCCUCUGCCAGAAGUGUGAUAAAGAUGGGUUACAGUGCGAGGACUGUCGGGUGGGUGUGGGUGGAGGUAAUGGGGUGGUUAAUAGUAAUGUUAAUGGAGCUUCAGGAGACACCAGUGGAGCUGCUGGCGGGACAGUGGGAGCCUUGAAUGGGCUUGUAGUGGCCAGGUCAGGAGCUGCUCUGGUGCGCUUCAUCCCACAGCGAACAGGACUUACUGAACCAUGGGUGACUGUGCUGAAUCUCGCCGCUCAUGCUAACUAUACCUUCCGAAUUAUGGCGCUAAACGGAGUCACGCAUCUGAGCAACGAGCAGCCGCAGUCUGUGAUGGUCAAUAUCACCACUAACCAGGCAGCUCCAUCUGAAGUGAUGGCCGUCCGGCAGGAAAACGCCAGUCAGAACAGCGUCACUCUUUUCUGGCAUGAACCAGCGCAGCCUAACGGAGUCAUAUUAGAGUAUGACAUCAAAUAUUACGAAAAGGACAAUGAGCAGCAAAGUUAUGCUACACUGAAGUCAAAGAACACCAGUGCUAAAGUGUCCGGUUUGAAGCCUGGAACGAGUUAUAUCUUCCAGAUUCGGGCCAGAACCUCGGCCGGCUGUGGACGCUUCAGUCAGUCAGUAGAGAUACAGACGGGCAAAGCACCUCCCCUGCGAAAUACCAACGUGACGAUUAUCUGGAUCUGCAUGGCUUCGGUAACAGGACUGGUGACAUUUCUGGCCGUUGUCAUCUGCAGAAAACGACGCUGUGGGUACAGCAAAGCUUUCCAGGACUCAGACGAGGAGAAAAUGCACUACCAAAAUGGCCACGUAUCAUUUCCAGAAGCCAGAUUUUAUAUUGAUCCCCACACAUAUGAGGACCCCUGCCAGGCUGUCCACGAGUUUGCCAGAGAAAUUGAAGCAUCCAGGAUCAAAAUAGAGAAAAUCAUUGGUUCAGGAGAGUUUGGGGAAGUGUGUUACGGCCGGAUGAAGCUGCCGGGGAAACGUGACGUCCCGGUGGCUCUGAAGACUCUUAAAGCCGGAUACACCGAGAAGCAGAGGAGAGAUUUCCUGGCUGAAGCCAGCAUUAUGGCACAGUUCGACCACCCAAACGUCAUCCACCUCGAGGGGGUGGUUACUCGCAGCAAACCGGUAAUGAUCAUCACAGAGUACAUGGAGAACGGCUCCUUGGACUCUUUCUUGAGGAGACACGACGGUCAGUUCACCAUUAUUCAGCUGGUUGGGAUUCUGCGUGGCAUCGCGGCUGGCAUGACUUACUUGGCUGAUCUGGGUUACGUCCACCGGGAUUUGGCCGCCAGAAACGUUCUGGUCAACAGUAAUCUGGUGUGCAAGAUCUCAGACUUCGGGCUUUCACGAGUGCUGGAGGACGAUCCUGAUGCAGCGUAUACCACCAGCGGAGGGAAGAUCCCCAUCCGCUGGACAGCACCGGAGGCCAUCGCCUAUCGAAAGUUUUCCUCCUCCAGUGAUGUGUGGAGUUAUGGAGUGGUGAUGUGGGAAGUGAUGUCAUAUGGAGAACAGCCAUAUUGGAACUUGACCAACAGAGAUGUGAUCAAGUCCGUAGAGGAGGGUUACCGUCUCCCAGCCCCCAUGGGCUGCCCCGGGGCCCUCCACACCCUCAUGCUGGACUGCUGGCAGAAAGACCGCAACGAAAGACCCAAAUUCUGCCAGAUCGUCACAGUCCUGGACAAACUGAUCCGCACUCCUGAAACACUCAAAUCAGUGGAAACAUUGUGCAGACUAAACAGUCCUUUGAUGAACAGAAGUAUUCCUGAUUUCACCAGCUGCAGAUCGGUGGACGAGUGGUUGGACACCAUUAAAAUGGGCCGCUAUAAGGACCACUUUGCCGCAGGAGGGUAUCGCACACUUGGACAUGUGAUGAGCAUGAAACAACACGACAUCCAGCGGUUGGGCGUCACGUUAAUGGGCCACCAGAAGAAGAUCAUGACCAGCGUCCAGGUGAUGAGAGCGCAAGUACUGAACCAGAGCGUGCCCUCCGUGCACAUAUAGUCACUGACUGAUCUGAUACAUGUUUGGGUCUCAUGUACGAACUGCAAAAAAAAAAAACUCUCCCCUCCUUAACAAAAACUGGACUAUUACUGCGAUAAAGGAUGGAGGUUUUUUUUUUCUUCUUCUUCAGCAAUGAUCUCUCUUCUCUUUUACUUCCUUUUGUAAAUGUUUGGACUGCCUUAAAUGACAUAAUUUAAAUAUCGUUGUACAUGGAUAAAGAUUUUAUUGAAUUCUAAAGUCAUGAAUAUGUAAUGAGCGGACUUAAUGAAUAUUAAAACCAUGGAGAUGAAUAUGCAUAGUGUACAAGUUUGGCCACACCCACCACAGCGCCGGAUGAAACUACGAGUGCCUGAAACAUGACACCGAGAAAAAACAAGACGUCGCAAGAGAAUAAACGAAUAAUCUACUGUAUGACAAAACCGAAACCCUCCGGAGGAAACGUUCAGCUUCUUCACAAGAUUACGGACAAACGCUGAAUUAGUCUCUGUGGUCAUAAAAAGAGGGGGGAAAGGCAAUUAUGUAUGUCAUGUGUUUGAUUAAACGCUCUGAAACUCAAGCGGCUGUUAUUUAUUGCGUACAGCGGCGAAUCCCUCUGGAAAUGAGAGGAAUAAAUGUGUGUAAAUGUUGGUCUGCGGAAAACAGAAGCGCUUUUGAAAUCUGUCUGAAAUGGAGUGUGUGUCUUUCUUUCAGAGUUCAGACCCAUUUGGAAAUAUUUGUUCUUAGCGUUCGCAGAGUUCGGGCUGUUUUACAUCGGAUACAUGAUUCAUUUUGGUGCGAAAUGAACAUAAAUGUGUGGAUUUUGAUGGGACUGACGCUUUUAAAGUCAACGUGAAAUUAAAACUGACCCUGAUUACUUUUCUCAGUGUAUUAUUAUGGACGGUUCAUCAUCGGUGCAUGUUUUAUUUUGUCAUUAAAAUGCAUUUUAAAUGCAUUAAACUUUGUUGUCAGUACAAAUUUCAUGUUGACUUUACCAAAACACUGGACCUCAUUUAAUUUUUGACAACAGGGUAUUAUCUGUAUGUUCAUUCUUAUUUUUUUAUUUAUUAAAUUAUGAUUAAUCAGAUUUAAUUAAAUUAAUUGUGCGUUUGUUUGGUGGAAUUAGUUUCCCAUGAAUCGUAUAUGUAAAUAUGAAUAAAAUACUGUUUUUUUUUGGCGCGCUCUUUCUUUGUUUCUUUGCAAAUAAAAACAAAACACUGUCAUUUUGUGUCUUUCAAUGCAUUUAGCGAACGCAGAGAGGAUAUUUAAAUGUGUUUAUCAAUAUGAUAAUGUUUUAGUAUCAUGGAGGUACUUGUGUUAACGUUUCGAUAUGUUUCUUUUAUUUUUAUAUUUGUGUUCAUUAAAAUGUAUUGGUUUUCUUAAUUUUGGUG
This 4661-nucleotide long non-coding RNA is filed under the name Danio rerio (zebrafish). RNAcentral's name for it is "eph receptor A8 (ENSDARG00000023609.11)". Lineage: Eukaryota; Metazoa; Chordata; Actinopteri; Cypriniformes; Danionidae. The record is from RNAcentral.